Non-coding RNA from Ceratobasidium sp. AG-I, 103 nucleotides. The record is from the annotation of a GenBank genome assembly. NCBI's taxonomy places the organism in Eukaryota, Fungi, Basidiomycota, Agaricomycetes, Cantharellales, Ceratobasidiaceae.
GCCCUUAUAGCUCAGUGGUAGAGCGUUGCACUUGUAUUCCACGCUAUCAACGUGUGAUUAACUUGCCAUGCAAAGGUCCGUUGUUCAAUCCAGCGUGGGGGCA